This 501-nucleotide ribosomal RNA is filed under the name uncultured bacterium. RNAcentral's name for it is "partial 16S ribosomal RNA". It matches the Rfam family "Bacterial small subunit ribosomal RNA", at positions 29 to 523 of the family's 1533-position model. The record is from RNAcentral.
AUUGAACGCUGGCGGCAUGCCUUACACAUGCAAGUCGAACGGCAGCACGGGAGCUUGCUCCUGGUGGCGAGUGGCGAACGGGUGAGUAAUACAUCGGAACGUAGCCAGUAGUGGGGGAUAACGCACCGAAAGGUGCGCUAAUACCGCAUACGACCUACGGGGGAAAGCGGGGGACCGUAAGGCCUCGCGCUAUUGGAGCCGCCGAUUGCUGAUUAGCUAGUUGGCGGGGUAAUAGCCCACCAAGGCGACGAUCAGUAGCUGGUCGGAGAGGACGAUCAGCCACACUGGGACUGAGACACGGCCCAGACUCCUACGGGAGGCAGCAGUGGGGAAUUUUGGACAAUGGGGGCAACCCUGAUCCAGCAAUGCCGCGUGAGUGAAGAGGGCCUUCGGGUUGUAAAGCUCUUUUGUCAGGGAAGAAACACCGGCUCUAACACAGUCCGGGAAUGACGGUACCUGAAGAAUAAGCACCGGCUAACUACGUGCCAGCAGCCGCAGUAA